RNAcentral lists this ribosomal RNA (253 nucleotides) under uncultured bacterium. RNAcentral describes it as "partial 16S ribosomal RNA". It matches the Rfam family "Bacterial small subunit ribosomal RNA", at positions 524 to 776 of the family's 1533-position model. The record is from RNAcentral.
UACGAAGGGGGCUAGCGUUGUUCGGAAUUACUGGGCGUAAAGCGCGCGCAGGCGGUUCUUCAAGUCAGUGGUGAAAGCCCGGAGCUCAACUCCGGAACUGCCAUUGAAACUGUAGAACUUGAGGACGAGAGAGGUGAGUGGAAUUCCCAGUGUAGAGGUGAAAUUCGUAGAUAUUGGGAAGAACACCGGUGGCGAAGGCGGCUCACUGGCUCGUUUCUGACGCUCAGGCGCGAUAGCGUGGGGAGCAAACAGG